Molecule: ribosomal RNA, 252 nt
Filed under: uncultured bacterium
Lineage: Bacteria
Description: partial 16S ribosomal RNA
Rfam family: Bacterial small subunit ribosomal RNA
Source: RNAcentral
UACGUAGGGUGCAAGCGUUAAUCGGAAUUACUGGGCGUAAAGCGUGCGCAGGCGGUGAUGUAAGACAGAUGUGAAAUCCCAGGGCUCAACCUUGGAACUGCAUUUGUGACUGCAUCGCUGGAGUGCGGCAGAGGGGGAUGGAAUUCCGCGUGUAGCAGUGAAAUGCGUAGAUAUGCGGAGGAACACCGAUGGCGAAGGCAAUCCCCUGGGCCUGCACUGACGCUCAUGCACGGAAGCGUGGGGAGCAACAGG